Molecule: ribosomal RNA, 253 nt
Filed under: uncultured bacterium
Lineage: Bacteria
Description: partial 16S ribosomal RNA
Rfam family: Bacterial small subunit ribosomal RNA
Source: RNAcentral
UACGUAGGUGGCAAGCGUUACUCGGAAUCACUAGGCGUAAAGCGCAGGUAGGUGGCUAGAUAAGUUUCUUGUGAAAGCUCCCGGCUUAACCGGGAGAGGCCAAGGAAUACUGUCUGGCUUGAGUAUGGUAGGGGUAACUGGAAUUCCCGGUGUAGCGGUGAAAUGCGUAGAUAUCGGGAGGAAUACCUAUGGCGAAGGCAGGUUACUGGGCCAUUACUGACACUGAGCUGCGAAAGCUAGGGGAGCAAACAGG